UGUCUCGUCGUCUAGGGGCCAAGGAUCCCGUGCGCCCUUCGGGGACGCGGAGGCGUGGGUUCAAAUCCCACCGGGACAU
RNAcentral lists this transfer RNA (79 nucleotides) under Actinoplanes flavus. RNAcentral's name for it is "Actinoplanes sp. NEAU-H7 tRNA-Arg". It matches the Rfam family "tRNA". From Rfam's summary of the family: Transfer RNA (tRNA) molecules are approximately 80 nucleotides in length. Their secondary structure includes four short double-helical elements and three loops (D, anti-codon, and T loops). Lineage: Bacteria; Bacillati; Actinomycetota; Actinomycetes; Micromonosporales; Micromonosporaceae. The record is from RNAcentral.